This is a long non-coding RNA of Gossypium raimondii (Peruvian cotton), 848 nucleotides long. RefSeq lists it as uncharacterized. The record is from RefSeq and is a predicted model, not a curated record. The transcript is spliced from 2 exons. Lineage: Eukaryota; Viridiplantae; Streptophyta; Magnoliopsida; Malvales; Malvaceae.
GAAUGGUGGUUGUAGCCCACUUAGCCCCCCUCGGAAGAAAAAUGUGAAAGUGGUCGACGGCUGGCCCAAAAUGAAAAAUUAGUGGCUAGGAACUCCGGCGGGGGGGGGGAGAUUCUGGCUUCGAAAGUGGUCCUCCACAGAGCGGUACCAUCACCGUUUGCAGCGGAGGCGCAUGCAUGCUUACAAGCUAUUCAGUUGGGGAUUCACCUGGGCCUCGAAUCCGUAAUAAUCGAAGGUGAUUCAAUGACAACAAUCAAGAAAUGCAGUUCAGCAAACCCGGAUAAGUCAGUAAUCGGGGCCAUUAUUAGGGAUAUUCACCGGCAAAAAGAACAUUUUCAGAGGGUAGUUUUCCAAUAUACACCUAAAUCUGCGAAUCUCCUUGCUCACACCCUAGCCUAUGCAAGUUUGAAGAAGGGGGAGGAAUUUUACCUGGACGGACAUUUGCCUGACUUGGUUCGUCGUGUGUUGGAGAUGAGAAGGCAAAGAAACCCGGAUUGAAAGCUGCUUGGAGGCUGCUCUGGUAGAGGGACAGGUAGCAGAAAAGGUUUUGGUUUUUGGAAACUGCUACGUCUUGGGUAUCUGGAACCGUUGAGAUUGAGUGAAUAUGGAGGGUUGUGUUGGGUGCCAGCUGCCUUCGUCGACUGGAUAGGAUUGAUUAGGAUUUAUUUUUAUUUUGUUUGGCCCUUAAUUUUGUGUCUUGGGCUGAGUCCAUCUUCUAUCUGACUCUAGGCUAGCCUUUGUUUAUUUCUGCUUAUUGAAUAAAUAUCCAAUCAAGUAUUUUUCAAAAAAAAAGAAAAAUUCUCCAAAUCCCUAAUUUUAAAUUUAUAAUAGUUUUUUUAAGUAAUAAA